RNAcentral lists this ribosomal RNA (406 nucleotides) under uncultured bacterium. RNAcentral's name for it is "partial 16S ribosomal RNA". It matches the Rfam family "Bacterial small subunit ribosomal RNA", at positions 30 to 526 of the family's 1533-position model. The record is from RNAcentral.
AUUGAACGCUGGCGGCAGGCUUAACACAUGCAAGUCGAACGAGUGGCGGACGGGUGAGUAAUGCUUGGGAAUCUGGCCUAUGGAGGGGGAUAACGACGGGAAACUGUCGCUAAUACCGCGUACCAUAGGAUGAGCCCAAGUGGGAUUAGGUAGUUGGUGGGGUAAACGCCUACCAAGCCUGCGAUCUCUAGCUGGUCUGAGAGGAUGACCAGCCACACUGGAACGGGGACACGGUCCAGACUCCGACGGGAGGCAGCAGUGGGGAAUAUUGCACAAUGGGCGCAAGCCUGAUGCAGCCAUGCCGCGUGUAUGAAGAAGGCCUUAGGGUUGUAAAGUACUUUCAGCGGGGAGGCGUUACCCGAAGAAGAAGCACCGGCUAACUCCGUGCCAGCAGCCGCGGUAAUUC